UGUCUGAAUUUUUUUACUCUUCCUACAUUUCAUUUCAAUAUAACAUUUACAUUACAGAGUUAUUCAUUAUGGUAAUUCCAUGAAUUUAUCCUUAAUGUUGGCUCCUUAAAGCUACUGGGAUAUUUGAUUGAUCUUUUCCAUAUCCCGUCCAUCUUCAUGCUCUCUGCUCUCCCCUUUCUUAUUUUCACAGUACGGACUUUGACUCAGCCUGUCUCCUGGAUAGCAUGGGUAGUUACAGGCACUCAGUCAACAUCGUUGUGAAAGACUGAACUGAAGUUCUGUGAUCUGGGUGUCAUACAUAAACAGGAUCCUUUCUGGAACAGUUGAGCUCUCUUCUGACAUAAAGAUUGGAGAACAAGAACCUAAACAGCCAGACAAAGAAACAUUUAGGCAAGAUGUCUGAGAAGACAGAUUCCAGAAAGUUCAUGAGGGAGCAGGGAAUAGGCGGGCAUGGGAAAGAUUGACUGGAUUUGAAGUAGGAAGAGACCGCAUGGAAGGAUGAUUUUGGCUCUCUAAGCUAAAUAUGUUGACCAUGUCAUUUUUUCUAGAGUCUGUGGGCAAACAAUCAUGUUGCAUGUGGUGAGUAAAUCUACCUUCUAGUGCUUGGUUCUCUCACUUACAAACAGUGUGACAACAUUUAAUCAGUCUUUAUUGUUUGAUUGGGUCACAUGCCAAAGCCUCAGCAAUGAGUCAGAUGCAUGGCAAGCAUUGCUCUCCAGCAGUCAGUCCUAGUAGAGUUCCUUUCUGAGCUUACAAUGGGUUGGGCAUUUUGGUUCUAAGAGGACAUUGCCAUGUCUGUUUUUACAUUCUAGCUAUAGUAAGUUUCUUCUGUGCUGCUUCUCUUGAUGCCUUUUACAGGAGGUGAGUCAGUCAACCUCAUACUAAGCUACUCUGAUACAGAUAAUUUUAUACACUCUCGUGUUUUGUGGGUAUAAAUUCUAUGCAGCAGCACAUCUAGUUGCAGCACUAAUUAAGCAUGGCUCACUCAGCAUUUGAAGUGACAGAGGAAAGAGAAUUUGAUUACUCCAAGGGCACCAGGACCUUUCAACCAAUAAUAAUUUACUGUCUCUACUAAGUAAAUUUUAGAUGUUCACUGUAGAGGGGACACCAUAUUUUAUAUACAAGUAGUGGAGUCAAUUCCUAAUAGAUCAUGUGAUCACAGAGUCAAGUAUCUGAUACAAAAUAGAGGGAGGCUAAAGUUUCCCAUUCCUGACAAGGUCACAGUUUUUUCCCCCUCCUUUCAGAAUAUGAGACAGGGCACAUGGGAGGUAGCUGUACUCAAUGAGGUUAUAAGGGGAUGGGUGGAAUUGAAACAGAAAAUUACUGGCUACAGGAAAAGGAGCUGAAGACUAAGGUUGAUAUACUCAGUAUUGGACAGUUAAGGCUAGACUAUGCAUGGAUGCUUGUGUUUUUAUGUGUACAUACUUGUGGGUAGGAGUACAUGUGCUUACAUGGUGCUUUUAUAUUUAUGGGUAUGAGUGUGCAUGUGUUUCCUGCAGGUAUGAGUAUGCAUAUAUAAAAAGCAUGUGUGCACACAUAUAUGUUUUGUAUUUAUAUUUUACCUUGUGUCACUUAAUUCUCUGACUUUACUUCUGAGCUAUUAUCUAUCACCUGUUUAAUACCAUUUAUAUGUCUGUCUAUCUAUCUAUCUAUCUAUCUAUCUAUCUAUCUAUCUAUCAUCAGUCUAAAUUUAUUCAAUAGUUACAUUUUAUUGAAUAUCCUAUAUGUCAGGGACCUAGUAAAUAAAUUUGAUCUAUGUAACAGUCCACUGUGAUUGCUUUUAUUACCUCAGAUUAAUUUGAGGAACCAAGAUUUAGGAAGCUGAAUAAUCUGCUUAAGGUCAGAUAGCUGUGAGAGGCUCAUGAAGAGAUGUACAUGAAGUUGACAUAGCUUUCUGUACUGAGUCUAUGUUUCUAUACAUUUAUAUAAUUUGCCUUAAGAACCAUUGUGCACUCUUUCCAACAUUUUUUAAAAGAUCAAAUCCAUGACUCCAGUCUCACUCUCAUUCGGUGGAUUGUACAGAUACUACCCAGACUACAGUUGGGCCACUCUUCCUUUUCCAGUGUAGCUCCCAGAUACAAGGUGAGUGGCCAUUUCUGCACAGUACUCACUGUCAAAUUCCUUGACGUAGUAAAUGAUUAAGAUUCACAAAACUGUCCCCAAUAUAGGAAGCUUCCUCAAUCUCUUGACUUUAUCUUUCUUCUGUUUAUAGUUCCUAAAUAGUAGCUUCGAUCACAUACUCUGCCCAUUGUUCUUUCACAUCCCAGGUGGAAGUCCUGUCUCCUAGAUCAUGAUUUAGCUCUGAUGGGGCUAAGCAGCAUGAAUGCCUUGACAGAUAUGUGAUUGUAUAUGCCUUACCAUAACUUUUUAUUAUGUGCUUCUCCUCUAUGGAGAUGAAUUACCAAGCAUCUUAGAGUCAGAUAUCAUACCUUCUGAGUUGAGGAACACAUCUAUACCAUGUGUCCUAAUGUAUCUAAGUGGUACAAGAAGAGGGACCAAUAGCUUAUCACUCACCAUGUCUUUCAGCUCUCACUGGAGUAGCUGACCUAUAUUUUCUACUGUGUGCCCUUACAAGUAUUCCUGGUUUCUCUAUUAGACAUAUACUUCAUUUUAUGCUUUGAUCAUCUGUGAAAAUGUAGGAUCCCAGAAAGAAGGAACAUUUAUUAUUUUCACACCCCAGAAAGAAGUGAGACUAUAAGAAAAUGCCAGGUAGGAGAGAAAAGAGCUGUGAGAAACAGACAACAUUAAGGAGUGUGGUGUGCAGAUGCCUAAAAAUACAUUGCCCGUGUCUCCAAAUUUCCUGCUGUAUAGCCCUCUCCUGUGCCUAGAAAGUAUUCAUAUCUAUGCCUUUCCUUUCAUCCCCCUGAGCCAAGGCUACAGGAACAAACCCAGUGACAGUAAAUCAACAGAGCUGAGAGAUCAGCCAGUCAGUCAAUCUUGAGAGCAUUCUUGGAUUUGUGGAUGCCUUGAGAAGGAUGCUUAGAGAAUCUGAGGAUAGGGUAGUUAUUAAAAGAGAUUAAAGGGUAUUAGCUAGUGCCUCAGCAAGUUAUAAUUAAAAAAGAAGCUGAAAAGAAGCAGGAGACUAAUUUUUCCAGUCACUGAAAUUUCAAGGAGGAAUGAGCUGGCCUGUGAACCAUUACCAGUUUAUAUUAAUUCUCAUGUAUGGUUCAGACUAACCCAAAUACAUGUCUUUUUCAGUUUGAAAUGCCCUAGUCAAUUUCACCGUACAAUACUAAGAGGAGAGAGCCUGGGAGACCAGGAAGCCAUGAUCACCUUCCAUCUUCAAUGUCAUUAUUCUCCAAAGUAUUCUAAAUCCUACUUUGAAAAUAAAGACUUAUUUUUCAGGCCCACAUGACAUGAAGAAGGGAAUUAUUCUGGUGUCCAUUUGGGGAAUUUGAGUCUAUGAGAAGUGGAAGAGUUGAUUCCCCUGAGAAUAUUUGACAGUGAAUCAUAUUACUAACAAGCUGUCCUGAAGCAUGCAUUACCAUGUUGUAGUCAUGUGUGGAAACCUAAUCCUCUUCAAAAGUCUCUUGUGCUUCACGCAAUGUCCCCAAGAUUCUGCUUGUGACUUAAGACCUCCCUGUUUACAUGUGAACAGUCUAGGUAGUGCCAUAUUUAAAUGUGCCUUUUCUUUAUCUUGCAGUAAGACCCAGGUUUUUUAGAACAUACUGUGGAGGAAGAAGCCCAAGAUAUCAAUCAGACUGACAGUUUUGUAUGAAAUAGAUGUGACAAGUUGGCCACUGUCAAUGUUGAGCAGAAGUUUAAACUUUGAUUACGAUUACAUGAAGUUUUAUUACAUUGAAAAACUGGAAAAUACUUUGUACAAAGCAAAGCUUUUGGUGUCUCCCAGAAGGAAAGAAAAGAAUUUGUUUGCUUUGUUAGUUUUUGUGUAUGUGUGUGCUGGUGUGUAUGUAGGUCCACAUGUGUGUUUGUGAGUACACAUGAAUGCAUGUGCAUGCUGAGGCUGAAGGACACCCUCGCUGCUAUCCCCUCAGGUUCUAAUCAUCUUGUUUAUUGAGGCAGGAUCUUUCCUUUUUCUGGAGCUGCAGAGUAGGAUAACAGUCUGGCAAGAGAGCUUUAGGGGUCUGCUCUCUCUGCUUUUCCAGCUUUAGAUUUUAUGUGGGUUCUCGGGUUCUAUCUUAGAGUCAAGAUAGAACCAGUGACUAUAAAAUAUGCCUUUGCUGACUGAAGUCUAAAAACAAUAUUUUAAGUACAGGUAUCCCAAAGUUUACUUAAAGCAAUCAGGUUGUUCUAAUUUUUUCACAAUUAAUUCAUUCAUUUAAGAACUCCAUGAAUAUGGUGCAUUCUCUCAGUAGCUCCAUGUCCUGACAGCAGGAUAGGCAGAAAUGGCAAUUUCAGACAGUGGCAGCUUGAUGGACUAACAGAAAUAGAAAAGGGAAAAUUACAAAAACAAGGCAAACUGUUUUGGAGGGAUGCAACUAUGGUAUACAAUAGAGCAGGGCCCAGUGUUGCUUCUGGCGUCAAGACUCCCUCAAAUAUCAGUGACCUUGUAUUGAAACAUUCACAUUUUCAUAAGGCAUCACAAUGCAAUAGGGCCCAUUUUCCUCAGAAUGGCUCCCUUGCUUGAGGUAAGAGUGAGUGCAGGCAAGGGGAAUUCUGUGUAUGAGGGCUCUCAGCUGAGGUGGGUGACCUAUGCAUAGGAUUGCUUUAAUUCCUCAACAUUGCUAAGCAAUAGGUGUUAAUGUCUUCAGUUUGGAAAAUAGGAAAACAUACCUUAGAAAAUGAAUGGCCAGGUUCACUGCCUUUUUUCCCAUCAUGCCCUCAGUAGGCUGUUAUGAUGACGUUAUUGUUAUGUGCCCAUCACCAUGAUUAUUUCUUCUUGUACUUCUUUUGGGUUAUUAUUCCCCUAGCUCAGAGUCUCCCCUUGUUUUGCAUGUACUGACAGAUUUCUCUGGGGCUGAGGUAGGUCUAACUCAAGCUGCAUCUUUUCACAAGACCAUUUUCACCACAACCAUAUUUACAUAACUCAUGUAGCAUCUGCAUAUUCUUUUUCUUAAGUAAUUUUAUUUAUUUAUUAUUUUAAUGUACAUUAGUCAUUUGCUUACAUGUGUGUCUAUGUAAGGGUGGUGGAUUCCUUGGAACAGGAGUUACAGACAGGAGUUGUGAUCUGUCAUGUGAAUGCUGGGAAUUGAACUCAGUCCCCACGAAGAGUACAGAAUAUACUUGACCACAGAGGAAUCUCUCCAGCCCAUAUUUGUAAUGGUUCUUUACUACACAUACUUGACAUUUAUCAUGUUUUGUUCUGUACACCAUUAUGCCUGCUUUGUUGCCUUAAGUAAAGCUUGUGUCUCACACUUUCACCUUCUCCCUUUUUUUAAAAUUCUCUAUUCCAUAAGAGACACAGUUCAGAAUGUACAAAACUAAUAUUUUUCUGUACUUGAGUCAUUGUGACCAUCAGAGUCCCUGCUUGUGAAACAAAAACCUUAAAAACUGUAUUCAGGAUAGGUUUGACAACCUUUCCAACCUUUAGCUAGGCAUAAGGACCUCAUAUUUUCAUCUCUAAGUCCCCAGUGCUAGUAAAUAUGUUGAACAUGGAAGAUAUCUGUUGCCGUUGUUCCUGAACUCCAGCAGAACUAAUACAAAGCAUUUUACCCACAUUAUAGAUUGAGGCUGUGCUCCCUUUUCUCUGUCCACUUGUUCUCUGUAAGAGUAGUUCACCAGCUUAAUGUUUACCCAUGUUCCACACUCUCUCCCCAAAUCGAAUGUCUGUGCUCUUACCUGCAUCUUGUGCUAACCCCCAAAGCCACUGUCCGUUGCUAGCUCUGACCCUUUACUCCCUUCCGUUCUCUGCUGGUAAGGUCAGUUUGUCAAACCAAAGCUCAUUAAGGGAAAAGGCAGAGAGGUGACUCAGCACCCUGACCCCAGAUAUUGUAUCUGCAAAAGCCCUUUUGCCAUUUAUAUUUCAACUUGAAUAGGUGUGUGACUCAGUCGUGGAAGGAUUUGUAGCUGACACUCAAUAGAAGCUGCUUUCAAAUUUUGACAAAUCCCAUCUUGAGCCAAGAAGAGAAACAGAUAUUGAUCCUAAGUGUACCUAAUUCAUCUCUGCACUUGUAAUCCCAAAAGAAAAUGCUUCUAUGACCAGAGGGCAGUCAAUAUUUUUUCCAUCUUGUAAAAUAAAUAGCAGUUAUUUUGGUGUGUCUUCAUGCAUCCCAGGCACCAGAAGUAAACAAAGAGUUGAUUCUUCCUCUUUCUACAGUGGAGUUUUAAUAACUUCAGAGCCUCUUGUUUGGGUUAAUUAAAAUCACAUCAAAUAAUUGGGAUUGAUGAGUAACUAGGGGCAAUUGUAUCAUUUGGCUACAUUAAUAGGGGAGCCUCAAUCCUCAGGCUAGGAGUGGUAUGUCUGCAGAGACUCAGCUGGAGACAUACAAUAAAUUGCAAGAGAAUACAUUUCUGAGACUCUCACUUUGGCAGUAUUACAGUUUUAGCCAUACCAGGGAGGUGUUCAGACCAGCCAGGGGUCUACUUACAAACACGGUUUAUUUAUUGUCCUUCCUCUCCUUUACCUGUGAGACUGGAGUUAGAGAUGGGAGAACCUCCAGGCGGUCAACAGGUCAGGCCAGACGGAGAACUGCUCUGUUUCCACAAUCAUUCUGUCUAUUCUCAACCCAGAUGGAAGGUCACAAGUUGUUGGAAAUACUGAGAAACUGAUUUGUGUCUAUAUUGAUCCAAACCUCACAUCAUUUCCCCAGCACCCCAGGUCACUUCCAACCAACGAGCACAAAAUUUCUUUGAAAUGAGGCACGUCAAAUGCUGAACUUACAUGUGGACAUACCAUCUGCUCAAUUCCAGGUUUUUCUAUCUGUUAAUAAUUGUUUUGGUUAUUAUAUCUGACUGGUUCACUGAGACAAAUCUUGCUUCCUUGCUUCUUGAAGAUUAAGACAAUAUCAGAGAAAAAAAUUUAGAUUAGUUAAUAUUUUGAUUGGGUAUUUUUUUAGGUUACAAGACAUUUUGCUUUGAAUUUCUAGACUUCCACACAUUUUCUUUCAGUGAACAAUAAAAGUUCUAUUUGAAUGGCAUAUGAGCCCUAUGUAGAUAAACAAUUUUGGUUUUCUCUCCGUGUGUCAAGUCUCUUCUGUGUUGGGCAAACACAUCAUGACACGAUGCUGAAGUGUUUUAGAGAUGUGCACAUUCCCAUUUCUCCUUUGUUCCUCCAAGGAAACCAAAUAAUCCCACUUGUAGUAUCCUAAAUGGUUUUUCAAAGCUUGUCUUUCAGAGACACACAGAUUAUGUAUAUAGUUCUGAUGAGGGGUGAGAAGCCCUUAUAAUUGUCUGUAGCCUUGGCCUAAAGUAACUUUGUGUCCUUUUCUAAGUCAUUUAGGAUUUCAGGGUUUGAGGGCCCUCAUUGUUAAACAGAAGGGGGUAGGAUUAAAUGGCCUCCAGACCCCACUGAGGUUGUAAUAUUCUCUCAGUCUCUAUCUCAAAGGCAUGUAAAUAAGCCAUUUGGGGGAUUUGCAUUGUUUUCUUUAUAACUGUAAUGCAGAAAUUGAGAUAUUGGGUUUAUCUCAGCAUGGUUAAAAGUCGAGAAAUAUCAAGCUUAUGUUGAGAAUCUCCUUAGUGAAUCAAAGCAUUUACCAAGGCUCUUCUUCAACACUUUUCAUCUUCUAAGGUCUCAGGGAUAAAAAUUUAGUGUACAUUAGCAAAGCUUAUACUCUUACAAUGUCAUUGUCUGUGGCAUUUAUUCUCAUAUCACAGGUGACAUGCUGAUAUGUACAUGCAUUAUGCAUGUAUAUUGAUGAUCUCAAGUUUUCCCAUAUAUUAAAAAUAGCAACAAUAAAAGGAACAGAAAAGAAAUUAAUGAUAGUAUCCUCUGCUCUCUUUGAAAACAGAUGAGAUUACAAAGCUCCAGUAAAGAGAAGUUGCCUAAAGCCACCUAAGUAAUUAAAAGGAAGCAAAACCUUGAAAAUGGAGGAGUAUAGCAGCUAUUAUUUGGACCUUUUGUUUGUUUCUUUCCUCUGACUGCUCCAUAGGAUGUAGAUAUUGUAGGCAUGAACAUCUGAUAUUGAGACUUACUGACUUCUCUUCAGCCAGACUUUGUUUACAUCACGAUUGAGUCUGCUUUUAAUCAAGCCAGCAAUAUGUCAAUGCCCAAUCCAAUGGAAAUUGGUGGUUUUCAUCUUGACCCAUAGGAUUGGGAAUGUUGUUUAAACAAAGGAAAUGGAUAAAAUGACAGAGCAGUGGUGGCCUCCUCAGCGUAACACACUUUGUAUUGUUUGACUUCUUUUGAUCCAUCUAACGCUCAUACAUCUCAACUGUACUGUUGUGUGGGUAUUUCACUCAUUUUCACUCACAGGGUGAAAAACAAAAAUGCUGAUUAGAAGAAAAGUAUGUUCAUGACCUUGAAGUGGGCAGAUAGUUGUUAAACACGAAUUUGAAGAAUACAAUUUCAUAAGGAUGAAGUCUCGAGGAUCAUUAAAGGGAUGCUACUUCUAUGCCUCUCUCCAUGAGCCUGCAGCUGGAUGUUUCAGCUAAGCUCUCUGCCUGUCAAUCCCCUGAGAUCUACUCCCUGCCUCACCCCCAUGCUCAUGUUACAGGAACGGGUGGAAGGAUAUCUAGCUGAAUUGAAAUUGACAAAACUGGGUAACUCAGACAGGGCAGCCUCCGGAGAGGCCUUUAACCACAAAAGAGACACCAGCCUCUGGGGUGAUAAUCAAAGAUGAGUGAAAGACCGUGUUACCCAAGUGUCAGAAGAAACACAAAUCUGUAAAAUAUAACUAGCAAGACCAUGCAGAGAGGAAAUGAUACUGUGAAUAUUUACAGCAGACGACUUCACUUCUGAAUUGGAGACAGAGGUGACAAAAGGGGAGAUAGAGUGUAAGGACAUCUUGAUGAGGACUGUGUUAGGACUGAGAGGAAGGAUAAAACAAUUCAUUACAGAUAAGAAGGACAAUAUAAGCAAAGACAAGAUCUUAGAAGAGCUGUGGUUAUUAUGGGAGCAGAAAAUGAGCGAGUCUGAUAAGAGUAAAGAGGGUGACUGCAAUUAAGGUGAAGAACAUGCAUUUCUGUUACAUGGUGCAUAGGUUAGAGGGGUUCAUUAGUAAUGAUUGCUCUGCUCUGGGAUGAGCAAGUAUAUACUACAGUUUUAGCAACUUUGUAACUGCUGGAGUUGAGACCUAUGGGGCUCUCCAAUCAAGAAGGCAAAGCAGUUACUGAACACUAAGUUUUUGGCUUCCUGGCAAAUUUGAUAGAGAAUAGUGGGGUUCUAAGCCACUAACAUGUGUUUCCUAAGUGUCUUUCAGUAACUGCAUUAAACCUCAGGUGUGUUUCAUUAACGACUUUAAAUUCAUUUCAGUGGAUGUCAUCCAGGCUCAUACAUGUUUGCAUAUAAGCAUAUAUACCUUUUAAGUAUUUGCAAAACUCAACACAUUUUUAAAAACACUGAAACUUUCUAAUUAUGCAUGCACCUUGAAAACACACACACACAUACACACACACACAAUGUUUAUGGAAGUAUCUGCAGAGGUUAAAAGAAGACAUCAGUUUUUUAGAAGUGGAGUUAAAGAUGGUUUGAGCUGCCACAAAGAUGCUGGAGACUUAACUCAAUUUUCUAAUGGACCAGGCAGUGUUCUUAGCCGCUGACCCUUCCUCUGCAAUCUCUUCUGGGACACUAUCAAUAUAGCAUAGUUUUAUGUUCCCUUCUUUGGAAGCUUUGGGAAUUUUCCACCUAAGAAAUCCUCUUACUAAGUAAACAUCUCUGUGUGUCUUCUCUUCCCAUUAGAGAAUAUUAUGUAGACAGAGCUCAGACCUAGCAGUUGGAAAACUGACCUCCAUCCCUUGGAGCUGACUAAGAAGAUGAACCCAGGUGGAAAUCUACAUUCGUUGCUACCACCAGGCCUUGAGGAUACAUUGGAAGAAUUGAUGAAAGUAUUUAAGACCGAGGGGAAGGAAUAUUGUAAAAUGCUGUACUCUGCAUGUGAAUGGCUACGAAAUACAGGAACACAUAGUAUCACAGCAACAGUGGUUACCCAUGGAAGAAAUCCAGAUGUUCAAGAGUUAAAAACUUCUGUAUGGGUGAGGGGCUCCUGAAGUUUCACCACUGCCUGAGGAGGAAGGGAAGGUUCUUUUCGUGGAUGGUAGCCCAAUAGAUGGCCUUGUACACAUGAACAUAUGGCCAAUGUAAAUAGGACUAGGUGUGUCAUAAACAAAGACAUAAAGAUGUGAAGGAUAUGGAAGACAUGUUGGAGGAGAAGUAAUGGGGAUGGACAUUGCCAAGAUACAUUGUGUGCAUGUACAAAAUUUUCAAAAAAUUAUAAUUGUUUUUGUCAGAAAGUGAUUCCAUCUCUGGAGAAUAGUAGACAUCGAGGUAGGAUCUAAGGAGAGGAAUGACACAUAGGGGAUAUUGUCUAAUCCAUUGACUGUUCAACCAUGUUCUAAUAAUCACAUGUAUUCCCAUGUCUUGGUUACAAGAUAGAAGUAUUUGGAGAGUAGGGCCAGUAUGAUUCCCCAAAUGCCAUACAUAUGAAAUAUCAGUCUAUAGUUAAACUAUAACAAUGAUAAAAUUUACAACAUUAUAAAUUUUGCAAUAGUAAAAUACUAUGAGUAUUUUCUCAACAGGAAAAUUGAAAUGAUAAUCAUUCUCUUAAGGAGUGACAUGUCAGCUCUGCUUCACACUAUAUGACUGGCAUAAUUUCUAUGUCUUUUGGCAAGUGUUGCUCUUCUUGCUCAGAUGGGAAGAUGUCCUGGGACUUGGAAGCUCAGGAACUACAGAGCUCUGAAAUUGGACACUGUCCCAGUGGAAGAGUAUCCUGAGACACAGGAGAUUGGGAACCACAUAGCUCUGAGUCAGAACCAUGUACCAACGGAAGGGCUUCCUCAGACAUGAGGACCCAGGAACCACAUAGCUCUGAGAGGAAUCCACCUCAACAAAGCGGUUGCAGCUCCCAGAGGAGUAUAUCUACAGGUGAACCAAGGAGCAUGGGCGCCUCAGCACUGUCCUCUUCACUUUGUCCCACCCCUUGUUUUCUGCAUUGCUUCUUGGCUUCCUCAGAUGAGAGAGUCACACCAGGCAGGAAAUCUCAUGAAAUAGAUUUAUUUAAGGGUUUAGGGAAAGGAGGGACUAAUCAAGGGAUGGAUGCCCCUUGCUCCUGGAAGGGAGAAAACAGGAAGGAAUUGGACAAAGGGCAGAGUUUAUACAGGUUUUCUUGAGGGGCAGUGCUUUCUAUGGCAGAGUUUUCUGUGGUGAGGGUUGGUGGUAUUUCUAUGUGCUGAGCUUGGGGGAACUCUGGUAUUAGUUGGUUUUCCUAUUUAGAGAUUGGUGGGUUUUCUUGCUCAGGAAUUGGUGGAUUUCUGUGGGAAGAUCAGGAAUUGGUGGGCUUUCCUACUCAGGGAUUGGGGACUUUCAUUCAGAUUUUUUAUAUAAAAUUAGCAUAAUCUGGGAAGGGUUCUGUUGAGGGGCUGGAGAUGACCUUUGUGAAAAUUAUAGAGGCUGGCAAUGCCAUUACAGUUACAGAGGUCUAGGAGAGGGGCCUGGCUCCUGAAGCUCCCUCAGAGGGGGACCUGGUCCCUUUCUUGUCCUUAGGGUUUAAAAAUUUACAAAGUACACAAAGUUUAGAAAGAGAGUCCAUGGCUGGAAAGGCUUUCCCUGUCACUUUAGUGGCAUUAAUAGCAAAUAAUAAGGGUGGGAUGUAUUAUCAUGGGAUACCAUUGUGCUAAAACCAUGUCUAGAGUAGUUUAGCUAUAACUACAACAUUGUGCUUUAAAUAUGACCUAUGCAUAAUAAAAGGAACUGUGGACAGUUAUUUUACACAAAUUUUGUGUAAAAAAAAUAAAUUUUGAUGUUGGAAAUGUAUGGUUUUGCUGCUAAACCAGAGUGUAUGUACUAUUUGAUGUCAUUAAUAUUAUCAGCAUAAUCAACAUCUACAUCAAUAUCAUCUCCUUCAUCAGAGUCAUCAGUCAGCAUUGUCAGCAUCAACAACACCUCCAAUAGCAUUGACAUUAUUAGCAUCACCAUUACAAUAUCAUCAAUAUCACCAUCAGUAGCAUUGGCAUCCUCAUCAUCAACAUUAUCUGUAAGUAUCAUCACCGUGGUUACAAUUAGUAUCAGCAGCAUCACCCACCUUCAGCAAUAUCCACCACUGUUAUUUAUCCUUCCUCUAUUUUCAUUGUUUCACAUUAUCCUCUCACCAUUACUCAUGCUAAAGAGUUACUUGUUACAACCUUCCAUGCAGAUAUAGUUUUGCCAUUUUAUACAGAUACCUAAAACCAUUCUUUCAUUCCCUGUUUCCCCAAAUAGUUUCAAAAAAAGGUUUGUGUGUCCUAUAACUUGGUUUGCAUAAUUUUGUGAUCCCCUCUGUGUGUGUGUGUUUGUGUGCAUCUCUCUUUCUCUCCUUCUCUCUCUCUCUCCUUCUCUCUC
This is a long non-coding RNA of Mus musculus (house mouse), 12370 nucleotides long. RefSeq annotates it as predicted gene, 33228. Lineage: Eukaryota; Metazoa; Chordata; Mammalia; Rodentia; Muridae. The transcript has 9 exons. The record is from RefSeq and is a predicted model, not a curated record.